UACGAAGGGGGCUAGCGUUGCUCGGAAUCACUGGGCGUAAAGGGUGCGUAGGCGGGUCUUUAAGUCAGGGGUGAAAUCCUGGAGCUCAACUCCAGAACUGCCUUUGAUACUGAGGAUCUUGAGUCCGGGAGAGGUGAGUGGAACUGCGAGUGUAGAGGUGAAAUUCGUAGAUAUUCGCAAGAACACCAGUGGCGAAGGCGGCUCACUGGCCCGAUACUGACGCUGAGGUGCGAAAGCGUGGGGAGCAAACGGG
Molecule: ribosomal RNA, 253 nt
Filed under: uncultured bacterium
Lineage: Bacteria
Description: partial 16S ribosomal RNA
Rfam family: Bacterial small subunit ribosomal RNA
Source: RNAcentral